RNAcentral lists this ribosomal RNA (228 nucleotides) under uncultured bacterium. RNAcentral describes it as "partial 16S ribosomal RNA". It matches the Rfam family "Bacterial small subunit ribosomal RNA", at positions 524 to 749 of the family's 1533-position model. The record is from RNAcentral.
GACGAACCGUGCGAACGUUAUUCGGAAUCACGUGGCUUAAAGCGCGUGUAGGCGGGUGGGAACGUCGGCCGCUGAAAUCCCCCGGCUCAACCGGGGAAGGGCGCCGAAACGGCCCGCCUGGAGGGACGUAGGGGGAGCUGGAACUUCCGGGUGGAGCGGUGGAAAUGCGUUGAGAUCGGGAAGGAACGCCCGUGGCGAAAGCGAGCUCCUGGACGUUUCUGACGCUGA